ACUACUAUAAAGCCAAGCGUGAUCUUUGGUGUCAAAGGCUUCACCAAUUUUUUGAAGUCUCCAAAUUGUCCACCACAGAUACAAAGAUCACUAAAAUAAAAGAUAUCAGAGAGGGUUAUUCCUGUAAAAUAUCAAAAAAAAAAUGAAAGAAUAUAAAUACGGAACUAUAGCUUUGUGCGGCAGACAAAAGAAAAAAAAAAUUAGAAAAAAAGAAUCGCACACGAUCUGCAAACAAGAGAGAACUGCCAGGAAGCACGAUCUCAACACAGACGAUUUCAUCGCUGUUUUCUCCAAAUUUUGCAGGUAUCUUGAACAAAUGACUAAUUUCUUUUGUUCCUGGUAAUCGUUGCUCUCUGCUCUCCCGUUUUCCUUUUCUAUUUAAUUGAAUUUAGUUUCCCAAUUGCACAAUUUCUAUUUAUUCCCUGUCAUUAUGCUUUCCAUUGAUUAUCAAUAUCGAUCAUCACUAAGGAUGUGUUUUUUAAACUUGAUUGGAAUAUUGUCUCAAGAAUACAAACAUGGCAAAGAGAACAGGUACUCUUAUCCAGAUUAUAUUUGAUUUAUGCAGUUACUUUUUCCCAUUUAUCUCAUCUCAACCUGUAAUUGUAUUGUUUUGGAUUUUCUUGGCUUUUGCAACCUGUUUCUAUAAAUUCAGUUUCAUAGGGAAGAGAGUAGGUUCUCUCAAUUGAUGUGCUAUAAGGAUAAUGACAUAUGGGUUUAUAUAUAUCAUUUCAGAAAUCUAUUUAUAAAUUAAAGUCUUAUUUGUACCUUCAGCAACCUCUAUACUCCACCAAUAGCAGUAAUUGUCAAUUGUUUCUGGAAUUCUUCAGUCAUUGUAAUUUCAUAAAUUGCUACCAGUUCUCGAUCUUACUUCAUGAUAAUUCUUUCCCCAUGUGUGUUUAUUCUUUUUAGUAUUAACUCUGCUCAAUAUUCUAGGUGAACGUAUUAAUACUAACUCUUUCCUUUUGUUAUUUUCUUUCAUUGGAGUGCAGAUGCAGGACUUUGGAAUAUGAAGUUGCUGAUUCUUUGAUUUUAUAUCAUCCACAUGUCUAUAAGAGUACAAUAAACUAUACUAAUUGUUUCCCUAUGCGAAAUUGGGAAUUUGGAGCAUGCAGGAAUGAUUUUCAAUGGAACUUCUAUUCUUUUUCUACGAUAAUGGACACAAGACUAUUCAGGGUAUGAAAAUCUUUAUUCGGUAAUCAGUACCAACUUUCAAAGGUCAACAUUCAGGGUGAAAUUAAUUGUUGAUUAGAUGU
This is a long non-coding RNA of Rosa rugosa (rugosa rose), 1253 nucleotides long. RefSeq lists it as uncharacterized. The transcript has 3 exons. The record is from RefSeq and is a predicted model, not a curated record. Lineage: Eukaryota; Viridiplantae; Streptophyta; Magnoliopsida; Rosales; Rosaceae.